RNAcentral lists this unclassified non-coding RNA (378 nucleotides) under uncultured bacterium. RNAcentral's name for it is "contains 16S-23S intergenic spacer region". The record is from RNAcentral.
UCUCGGCUUAUCACCGGCAGUCCCUCUAGAGUGCCCAACUUAAUGCUGGCAACUAAAGGCAAGGGUUGCGCUCGUUGCGGGACUUAACCCAACAUCUCACGACACGAGCUGACGACAGCCAUGCAGCACCUGUGCAGGAGUCCCGAAGGACACCCCGGGUUUCCCCAGGAUUUCCCCUGCAUGUCAAGCCCUGGUAAGGUUCUUCGCGUUGCGUCGAAUUAAACCACAUGCUCCACCGCUUGUGCAGGCCCCCGUCAAUUUCUUUGAGUUUUAACCUUGCGGCCGUACUCCCCAGGCGGAUGACUUAACGCGUUAGCUGCGCCACCGAAACUCCAUGAGCCCCGACAGCUAGUCAUCAUCGUUUACGGCGUGGACUAC